AUGGCUUUUGAGCCUUUAAACCAAGAUUAAGUAGAGUAAGUUUUUAUUAGUUUAAUAUGUGGUGCAAUGUCUAUCUGAGGGGAGCACAAUAAAUGUGUAUUUGGAGCAGGGAGAUGGAAUGGGAGCUUGCUUCCUCUACUUUGUGCAUUGAAGAGAGUUUGCAGUACAUCUUAGAGUGGUGCACAACCU
This is a small nuclear RNA of 189 nucleotides. Its record names the gene U2. It matches the Rfam family "U2 spliceosomal RNA". From Rfam's summary of the family: U2 is a small nuclear RNA (snRNA) component of the spliceosome (involved in pre-mRNA splicing). Complementary binding between U2 snRNA (in an area lying towards the 5' end but 3' to hairpin I) and the branchpoint sequence (BPS) of the intron results the bulging out of an unpaired adenosine, on the BPS, which initiates a nucleophilic attack at the intronic 5' splice site, thus starting the first of two transesterification reactions that mediate splicing. The record is from Ensembl.